RNAcentral lists this ribosomal RNA (274 nucleotides) under uncultured bacterium. Its description in RNAcentral is "partial 16S ribosomal RNA". It matches the Rfam family "Bacterial small subunit ribosomal RNA", at positions 523 to 796 of the family's 1533-position model. The record is from RNAcentral.
AUACGGAGGGUGCAAGCGUUGUUCGGAAUUACUGGGCGUAAAGCGCGCGUAGGCGGUCUGUUAUGUCAGAUGUGAAAGUCCUCGGCUCAACCGGGGAAGUGCAUUUGAAACUGGCAGACUUGAGUACUGGAGGGGGUGGUGGAAUUCCCGGUGUAGAGGUGAAAUUCGUAGAUAUCGGGAGGAAUACCGGUGGCGAAGGCGACCACCUGGCCAGAUACUGACGCUGAGGUGCGAAAGCGUGGGGAGCAAACAGGAGUAGAAACCCGAGUAGUCC